Molecule: ribosomal RNA, 235 nt
Filed under: uncultured bacterium
Lineage: Bacteria
Description: partial 16S ribosomal RNA
Rfam family: Bacterial small subunit ribosomal RNA
Source: RNAcentral
CGCACGGGUGAGUAACACGUAUCCAACCUGCCGUCUACUCUUGGACAGCCUUCUGAAAGGAAGAUUAAUACAAGAUGGCGUCAUGAGUUCACAUGUUCACAUGAUUAAAGGUAUUCCGGUAGACGAUGGGGAUGCGUUCCAUUAGAUAGUAGGCGGGGUAACGGCCCACCUAGUCUUCGAUGGAUAGGGGUUCUGAGAGGAAGGUCCCCCACAUUGGAACUGAGACACGGUCCAA